Non-coding RNA from Saimiri boliviensis boliviensis (Bolivian squirrel monkey), 2245 nucleotides. NCBI's taxonomy places the organism in Eukaryota, Metazoa, Chordata, Mammalia, Primates, Cebidae. The record is from RefSeq and is a predicted model, not a curated record.
ACCCCAAGGGGGGCGGUCCCGAGUGGGUGGGCGCAGGGGGCAGCCGCGCCCCCCGGCCAGGCCUUGCUUCUGCCCCUACAAGGUUUGGGCCGAGGUGGGGGAGGGUCCUGAUCGCCGGCUCCGCCCGGUCCCUCCCCGCCUUUUAGGCGCCCGCGCGGCCGGGACGUCCCAGUCCUGCUCGGUCCUCCUUGCCUGCCACCCGUGCACCCAGUCGGCUCAGCCAGCCCAGUCCGUCCAGUCCUCACUGCCUGCCGGCCGGCCCACCCCCCACCACAGCCAUGGACGCCAUCAAGAAGAAGAUGCAGAUGCUGAAGCUGGACAAGGAGAACGCCAUCGACCGCGCCGAGCAGGCCGAAGCCGACAAGAAGCAAGCUGAGGAUCGCUGCAAGCAGCUGGAGGAGGAGCAGCAGGCCCUCCAGAAGAAGCUGAAGGGGACAGAGGAUGAAGUGGAAAAGUAUUCUGAAUCUGUGAAGGAGGCCCAGGAGAAACUGGAGCAGGCCGAGAAGAAGGCCACCGAUGCUGAGGCAGAUGUGGCCUCCCUGAACCGCCGCAUUCAGCUGGUAGAGGAGGAGCUGGACCGGGCCCAGGAGCGCCUGGCUACAGCCCUGCAGAAGCUGGAGGAGGCUGAGAAGGCAGCUGAUGAGAGCGAGAGAGGAAUGAAGGUCAUCGAAAACCGGGCCAUGAAGGACGAGGAGAAGAUGGAGCUGCAGGAGAUGCAGCUGAAAGAGGCCAAGCACAUCGCUGAGGAUUCAGACCGCAAAUAUGAGGAGGUGGCCAGGAAGCUGGUUAUCCUGGAAGGAGAGCUGGAGCGCUCAGAAGAGAGAGCUGAGGUGGCCGAGAGCCGAGCCAGACAGCUGGAGGAGGAACUUCGAACCAUGGACCAGGCCCUCAAGUCCCUGAUGGCCUCAGAGGAGGAGGUAGCAACCCCUCUGAACCUUUCCGGGCAAUGGCGCCUUCUCUCAGCUCACCUUCUCUCCAUCUCUGCACCACAGGCUGCUCUCUCUCAGCUGCUGGGGAUUGGGAAGGGCCUGGGGCUUCUGAGCCCUGCCUGCUGUCACUCUCACAACUUGGCUCUUCUCUUCUCUCCUCUACCCAUCCCCCACUGUGCCAUCUCCACUGUCUGGCUUCACUGUGCCCUCACACCCCGCUCCCCCUGCCACACACCCCCUGCAGUAAAUGUGGGGACCUAGAGGAGGAGCUGAAAAUUGUUACCAACAACUUGAAAUCCCUGGAGGCCCAGGCGGACAAGUAUUCCACCAAAGAAGAUAAAUAUGAAGAGGAGAUCAAACUGCUGGAGGAGAAGCUGAAAGAGGCUGAGACUCGAGCAGAGUUUGCCGAAAGGUCUGUGGCAAAGUUGGAGAAAACCAUCGAUGACCUGGAAGACGAAGUCUAUGCCCAGAAGAUGAAGUACAAGGCCAUUAGCGAGGAGCUGGACAACGCACUCAAUGACAUCACCUCCCUCUGAGCCCCACGCCAGUGUGGCCACCUCAGCCCUCUUCUCUCCUUUCCAUUCUCUCUAUGGGGAAGGGAACAGGCAGGAGGAGCAGAAAUUGCCAACAUUGCCCAGCCAGGCUGGGAGCAGCCUAGGGAGAACCUCCAUCGUGCCCACCACCCAGUCUGGCACUGGCUUCAUCCUUUACCUAUCCUCCUUCACCCCCCUUCACUGCUUAAUAAACUCUGAACUUGGUCUCCAUGCUGUUUUCCUGCCCUCCAGAGAGCACCUCUAUCACUACCACGGAGCACGGGUUCACUCCUGAGACCCUGGCUCUUGCAGACACCCCCACCCACUGCACUGAGCCACCCACCAAACAACAUGGCCCACUCUGAAACCCCUCUGCACAGGCACUCCCAGGCUGUCACUCUGACUCACUGCUGCAUGCGGGCACAUGUGACCCUGUCAAACACUGUGAUCCCCUCUGGUGCCAAUCACUGACCUCAGAGCACUUAGCUGGGGUUCCAGGAUCAAACAGAGUGUCUGGAAAGGAAAUGGGGUGGUGAGGUGCAGGGCAGGGGCAAGAAGGUGGCAAAAGGGCUGGAAUGGAGCUUGGAAACACGUUGGAUGUCAGCAACAUGGGGAUUUCACUGCAUCCGCAGAGACCUUGGCCAGUGCCAAGGAGGAGAACGUCGAGAUUCACCAGACCUUGGACCAGACCCUGCUGGAACUCAACAACCUGUGAGGGCGGGCCCCGCCCCCAACCAGGCUAUGGUUGCUGCCCCAACCCAAUAAAACUGAUGUUUCCAGCUU